This 347-nucleotide ribosomal RNA is filed under the name uncultured bacterium. RNAcentral describes it as "bacterial SSU rRNA". It matches the Rfam family "Bacterial small subunit ribosomal RNA", at positions 527 to 873 of the family's 1533-position model. The record is from RNAcentral.
GUAGGGUGCGAGCGUUAAUCGGAAUUACUGGGCGUAAAGCGUGCGCAGGCGGUUUUGUAAGUCAGAUGUGAAAUCCCCGAGCUCAACUUGGGAACUGCGUUUGAAACUACAAGACUAGAAUAUGUCAGAGGGGGGUAGAAUUCCACGUGUAGCAGUGAAAUGCGUAGAGAUGUGGAGGAAUACCAAUGGCGAAGGCAGCCCCCUGGGAUAAUAUUGACGCUCAUGCACGAAAGCGUGGGGAGCAAACAGGAUUAGAUACCCUGGUAGUCCACGCCCUAAACGAUGUCUACUAGUUGUUGGUGGAGUAAAAUCCAUGAGUAACGCASUAACGCGUGAAGUAGACCGCC